CCCUUAGAUGUUCUGGGCCGCACGCGCGCUACACUGACGAUGGCAACGAGUUUUUCCUUCGCCGAAAGGUGUGGGUAAUCUUUUGAAACAUCGUCGUGCUGGGGAUAGAUCAUUGCAAUUUUUGAUCUUGAACGAGGAAUUCCUAGUAAGCGCGAGUCAUCAGCUCGCGUUGAUUACGUCCCUGCCCUUUGUACACACCGCCCGUCGCUACUACCGAUUGAAUGGUUUAGUGAGGACUCCUGAUUGGCGCCGCCGCCCCGGCAACGGAGCAGCGGACUGCCGAAAAGUUGUUCAAACUUGAUCAUUUAGAGGAAGUAAAAGUCGUAUCA
Molecule: ribosomal RNA, 329 nt
Filed under: uncultured eukaryote
Lineage: Eukaryota
Description: partial 18S ribosomal RNA
Rfam family: Eukaryotic small subunit ribosomal RNA
Source: RNAcentral